Molecule: ribosomal RNA, 200 nt
Filed under: uncultured prokaryote
Description: partial 16S ribosomal RNA
Rfam family: Bacterial small subunit ribosomal RNA
Source: RNAcentral
GUCAAAUCAUCAUGCCCUUUAUGUCCCGGGCUACACACGUACUACAAUGGACGGUACAGAGCGGGGCGAAGCCGCGAGGCGAAAGCGAAUCGCUUAAAGCCGUCCGUAGUCCGGAUUGAAGUCUGAAACCCGACUUCAUGAAGUUGGAAUCGCUAGUAAUCGCGCAUCAGCAUGGCGCGGUGAAUACGUUCCCGGGCCUU